AUAAGCUCCGGCUAACUCCGUGCCAGCAGCCGCGGUAAUACGGAGGGAGCUAGCGUUAUCCGGAUUUAUUGGGCGUAAAGCGAGCGCAGGCGGUUUCUUAAGUCUGAUGUGAAAGCCCCCGGCUCAACCGGGGAGGGUCAUUGGAAACUGGGAGACUUGAGUGCAGAAGAGGAGAGUGGAACUCCAUGUGUAGCGGUGAAAUGCGUAGAUAUAUGGAAGAACACCAGUGGCGAAAGCGGCUCUCUGGUCUGUAACUGACGCUGAGGCUCGAAAGCGUGGGGAGCA
Molecule: ribosomal RNA, 285 nt
Filed under: uncultured bacterium
Lineage: Bacteria
Description: partial 16S ribosomal RNA
Rfam family: Bacterial small subunit ribosomal RNA
Source: RNAcentral